UGGCAAUAACAUGUUGAAACACUGGUUCUCAUACAAUCACUGAAGUUAAGCAACGUCAAGCCUGGUCAGUAUCUAGAUUUGGGACCGCUUGGGAAUACCAGGUGCUGUAAG
Non-coding RNA from Acanthosepion pharaonis, 111 nucleotides. The record is from the annotation of a GenBank genome assembly. NCBI's taxonomy places the organism in Eukaryota, Metazoa, Mollusca, Cephalopoda, Sepiida, Sepiidae.